RNAcentral lists this ribosomal RNA (407 nucleotides) under uncultured bacterium. RNAcentral's name for it is "partial 16S ribosomal RNA". It matches the Rfam family "Bacterial small subunit ribosomal RNA", at positions 30 to 526 of the family's 1533-position model. The record is from RNAcentral.
AUUGAACGCUAGCGGGAUGCCUUACACAUGCAAGUCGAACGGCUUGGGGAACGGGUGCGUAAUGUAUCGGACCGUGCCCAGUCGCGGGGGAUAACUACGCGAACGCGUAGCUAAUACCGCUUCCUCUUGCAACGGCCGGUAGCGGAUUAGCUAGUUGGUGGGGUAACGGCUCACCAAGGCGACGAUCCGUAGCUGGUUUGAGAGGACGACCAGCCACACUGGGACUGAGACACGGCCCAGACUCCUACGGGAGGCAGCAGUGGGGAAUUUUGGACAAUGGGGGAAACCCUGAUCCAGCCAUCCCGCGUGUGUGAUGAAGGCCUUCGGGUUGUAAAGCACUUUUGGCAGGAAAGCGGUACCUGCAGAAUAAGCACCGGCUAACUACGUGCCAGCAGCCGCGGUAAUAC